Molecule: ribosomal RNA, 430 nt
Filed under: uncultured bacterium
Lineage: Bacteria
Description: bacterial SSU rRNA
Rfam family: Bacterial small subunit ribosomal RNA
Source: RNAcentral
AUUGAACGCUGGCGGCAUGCCUUACACAUGCAAGUCGAACGGCAGCACGGGAGCUUGCUCCUGGUGGCGAGUGGCGAACGGGUGAGUAAUACAUCGGAACGUACCCUGAAGUGGGGGAUAACGUAGCGAAAGUUACGCUAAUACCGCAUAUUCUGUGAGCAGGAAAGAGGGGGAUCGCAAGACCUCUUGCUUUAGGAGCGGCCGAUGUCGGAUUAGCUAGUUGGUGAGGUAAAGGCUCACCAAGGCGACGAUCCGUAGCGGGUCUGAGAGGAUGAUCCGCCACACUGGGACUGAGACACGGCCCAGACUCCUACGGGAGGCAGCAGUGGGGAAUUUUGGACAAUGGGCGCAAGCCUGAUCCAGCAAUGCCGCGUGUGUGAAGAAGGCCUUCGGUUGUAAAAGUACGACUUUAUUCUAGGAACGAAAGACG